GACGAACGCUGGCGGCGUGCUUAACACAUGCAAGUCGAACGGAAAGGCCCUGCUUUUGUGGGGUGCUCGAGUGGCGAACGGGUGAGUAACACGUGAGUAACCUGCCCUUGACUUUGGGAUAACUUCAGGAAACUGGGGCUAAUACCGGAUAGGAGCUCCUGCUGCAUGGUGGGGGUUGGAAAGUUUCGGCGGUUGGGGAUGGACUCGCGGCUUAUCAGCUUGUUGGUGGGGUAGUGGCUUACCAAGGCUUUGACGGGUAGCCGGCCUGGGAGGGUGACCGGCCACAUUGGGACUGAGAUACGGCCCAGCCUCCUACGGGAGGCAGCAGUGGGGAAUAUUGCACAAUGGGCGGAAGCCUGAUGCAGCAACGCCGCGUGCGGGAUGACGGCCUUCGGGUUGUAAACCGCUUUCGCCUGUGACGAAGCGUGAGUGACGGUAAUGGGUAAAGAAGCACCGGCUAACUACGUG
This 468-nucleotide ribosomal RNA is filed under the name uncultured bacterium. RNAcentral describes it as "partial 16S ribosomal RNA". It matches the Rfam family "Bacterial small subunit ribosomal RNA", at positions 28 to 507 of the family's 1533-position model. The record is from RNAcentral.